Molecule: ribosomal RNA, 609 nt
Filed under: uncultured archaeon
Lineage: Archaea
Description: bacterial SSU rRNA
Rfam family: Archaeal small subunit ribosomal RNA
Source: RNAcentral
GAGCGUCUCUAGCUAUGUUGAGACGCGGCAUACGGCUCAGUAACACGUGGCUAACCUACCCUCAGGACGGGGACAAACCCGGGAAACUGGGGCUAAUAUCCGAUAGGCGAGGAAUCCUGGAAUGGGUCCUCACCCAAAGGACAUUGGAAACAUGCUUUCUCUGUCGCCUGGGGAAGGGGCCGCGACCGAUCAGGUUGUUGGUGAGGUAAUGGCUCACCAAGCCUUUAACCGGUACGGGCCGUGAGAGCGGUAGCCCGGAGAUGGGUACUGAGACAAGGACCCAGGCCCUACGGGGCGCAGCAGUCGCGAAAACUCCGCAAUGCACGAAAGUGUGACGGGGCUACCCCGAGUGCCAUCCGCUGAGGAUGGCUUUUCCUUGGUGUAACUAGCCGGGGGAAUAAGGAGAGGGCAAGACUGGUGUCAGCCGCCGCGGUAAUACCAGCUCUCCGAGUGGUAGGGAUGAUUAUUGGGCUUAAAGCGUCCGUAGCCGGCUUAGCAAGUUUCCUGUUAAAUUCAGCGACCUAAUCGUUGAGCCGCGGGAAAUACUACUAGGCUAGGAGGCGGGAGAGGUCGACGGUACUUCUGGGGUAGGGGUGAAAUCCUAUAAUC